GGCUCCGUAGCUCAGCUGGAUAGAGCGGCUCCGUCCUAAGGAGCGGGUCGGGAGUUCGAAUCUCUCCGGAGUCG
This 74-nucleotide transfer RNA is filed under the name Hyphomonadaceae bacterium. RNAcentral's name for it is "tRNA-Arg". It matches the Rfam family "tRNA". From Rfam's summary of the family: Transfer RNA (tRNA) molecules are approximately 80 nucleotides in length. Their secondary structure includes four short double-helical elements and three loops (D, anti-codon, and T loops). Further hydrogen bonds mediate the characteristic L-shaped molecular structure. tRNAs have two regions of fundamental functional importance: the anti-codon, which is responsible for specific mRNA codon recognition, and the 3' end, to which the tRNAs corresponding amino acid is attached (by aminoacyl-tRNA synthetases). tRNAs cope with the degeneracy of the genetic code in two manners: having more than one tRNA (with a specific anti-codon) for a particular amino acid; and 'wobble' base-pairing, i.e. permitting non-standard base-pairing at the 3rd anti-codon position. The record is from RNAcentral. Lineage: Bacteria; Pseudomonadati; Pseudomonadota; Alphaproteobacteria; Hyphomonadales; Hyphomonadaceae.